RNAcentral lists this long non-coding RNA (7647 nucleotides) under Octopus vulgaris (common octopus). The record is from RNAcentral. Lineage: Eukaryota; Metazoa; Mollusca; Cephalopoda; Octopoda; Octopodidae.
GAGCACCUUGGCGGAAAUAAGUGCACCGGUGUCAUAAUUACAUUGACACCGUUCCAUCCAAAACAAAGAUGUCAAGCAUAUGUUCUUAUAAUUGAGGUAAUUAUUUUCCUUUUAAUCACUUUGUUGCGGCUUUAAUGCAGUUUAGCUUUUUGAAUUAACGUCACCUUUACGUAAAUAUGUUUAUUGUAUUCUUAUAGACACGCACUUACACGUGUAUGGGAUGUGUCUAUUCUUUAGCUGUUUAAUUGCUUCAGUUAAAGGGUCAUAGGAUUGAGACCAUUCUGGGCCCUCGUGGGCCCUCGCCUUGGCGAAUUUAGAUGAUAAGAUCACCCCCCGGUACUUAUUUUUAAGUGUGGAAUUUAUAUAUAUAUAUAUGUGUGUGUGUGCGUGUACUGUAUAUAUGUGUGAGCAUACAGCAUACCAAUUUCUUUACUAUCGGCAAGGGGCUAAACAUAGAAGGGACGAACAAGGACAGACAAAGGGAUUAAGUCGAUUAUAUCGACCCCAGUGCGUAACUGGUACUUAUUUAAUCGACCCCGAAAGGAUGAAAGGCAAAGUCGACCUCGGCAGAAUUUGAACUCAGAAUGUAAAGACAGACGAAAUACCUAUUUCUUUACUACCCACAAGGGGCUAAACACAGAGGAGACAAACAAGGACAGACAAACCGAUUAAGUCGAUUACAUCGAUCCCAGUGCGUAACUGGUACUUAAUUUAUCGACCCCGAAAGGAUGAAAGGCAAAGUCGACCUCGGCAGAAUUUGAACUCAGAACGUAACGGCAGGCGAAAUACCGCUAAGCAUUUCUCCCGGCGUGCUAACGAUUCUGCCAGAUCGCCUCCCUCUGUGCACACAGCAUACCGCCAAAGGUGUGCCUCAUAAUUAUCAAAAUGUGUAAAUGGUGACAACAAUUGCAGCGUUGAAGGUGUUUAUAAGCCAUUUAAGAAACACACAAAACCCGUUAGAUUAAUUUCAACAUUUAAAUUUCAUUUGUCAAAAUAUUGGUACUACUUGGGAACAGUGGUCCCAGUGCGCGCAUCUGCGCUAGGUAGUCGAUCAUACAGCGACUACCUAGCAAAGUAAAUAAAACACCAAAACAAAGUAAAUAAAACAAAAACACAAAGUAAGGAUCGACUAGUCAUGACUAGCUGGCUUGGAUGCGUGAGUACGAGAGUGCUCGCACCGGGACCACUCUUUUUAAGUAGUAACCGGCUUAUAAACACCUUCCUCAGAUCAGGUCACUUGCUAUGCAAGUACAUCUCUGUAAAUUAAGGUUAUCUGAAAAAGAAAAGUAGUGAGCAAGCAUACAUACGUAGUGACAUGUAUCACAAUUUCUUUUGAAAUUUCGGGUUUCAUUUUGUAAACAUCUGUGAUGUGUCAGUAUAUAUGUGUACGAGGCUAUAAAAUUUAUAUUUUCAUAUUGAAUUCAGAUGUAAUCGUAAUCUACACGUUUCUGAAAUUUAUUUAUAGAAAAUUUCGGUUCACAUGGCGAUGUAAACGGAACCCUUCCCCCCCACUUUAAUUUUUCUUUUUUUAAGGAAUCCCUCGUCUUAGGCUAUAGAGAUUCCGAUUUUGAUUUUAAAAAUUUCAAAACUCGCAACUUCAAACUUUCAAUUCCUCCCCCAUUUACUCUUUUACUUGUUUCAGUCAUUUGACUGCGGCCAUGCUGGAGCACCGCCUUUAGUCGAGCAAAUCGACCCCAGGACUUAUUCUUUGUGAGCCCAGUACUUAUUCUAUCGGUCUUUUUAGCCGAACCGCUAGAUGACAGGGACGUAAACACACCAACAUCGGUUGUCAAGCAAUGCUAGGGGGACAAACGCACACACACACAUGUAUAUAUAUAUAUAUAUAUAUAUAUAUAUAUAUAUAUACACAUAUAUACGACAGGCUUCUUUCAGUUUCCGUCUCCAAAAUCCACUCACAAGGCAUUGGUCGGCCCGAGGCUAUAGUAGAAGACACUUGUCCAAGGUGCCACGCAGUGGGACUGAACCUGGAACCAUGUGGCUGGUAAGCAAGCUACUUACCACACAGCCACUCCUGCGCCUAUGAUUCUGAAAAAAAAAUUGUUUGUAAAAUUUCAAUUUUUCCAAAAAAAAAAAUAAUAAAUUACCCCCAAUCCCCUCCCCUCCCGAUUCUACGGCCUUGGUCAUUCACAUGCUAGAAAUAACAACCAAAUCUCACAAAACUGCGAUGACAUUAUGAAAGAAAUAUGUAAUCAAUCUACUCAGCUUUCUGCAAAGAUUUCUUUCACAGUAAUUUCCCGCAAUACUAUGACAAAGUGAAAUUAAAGUGUUCAUUUGAGGAAAUAUUGAAGCAGGAGUGGCUGUGUGGUAAGUAGCUUGCUAACCAACCACAUGGUUCCAGGUUCAGUCCCACUGCGUGGCAUCUUGGGCAAGUGUCUUCUGCUAUAGUCCCGGGACGACCAAUGCCUUGUGAGUGGAUUUGGUAGACGGAAACUGAAAGAAGCCUGUCGUAUAUAUGUAUAUAUAUAUGCGUAUGUGUGUCUGUGUUUGUCCCCCUAGCAUUGCUUAACAACCGAUGCUGGUGUGUUUACGUCCCUGUUACUUAGCGGUUCGGCAAAAGAGACCGAUAGAAUAAGUACUGGGCUUACAAAGAAUAAGUCCCGGGGUCGAUUUGCUCGACUAAAGGCGGUGCUCCAGCAUGGCCGCAGUCAAAUGACUGAAACAAGUAAAAGAGUAAAGAGCUUGCUCCAGAGAAAAUAAUGGAUUUUUUUAAAAACAAACGGCAUUAUUGCCACAAGUAAAACGUGUUUUGCACGCACACGAUAUAAAUGAACACCUUAAUUUCACUUUUUUGAAAUUUUGAAGUUGUAAUUUUUGAAAAAAAUUUUUCAGAAUCGGAAACUGAAAGAAGCCCAUUAUUUACAUUAUUUACAUUUCAUGGAUAUUUGUCCUCAUCUUGUUUGUUGUUAACACAAUGUUUCAGCUGAUAUACCCUCCAGCCUUCUUCAGGUGUCUUGGGGGAAAUUUCAAACCUAGGUCCUCAUUCCUCAGGUAUUUUUCAAUGUUAUUAAUAUUGUUAUUGUUCAGGUCAUAUGGUGUAGUGGUUAAGAGCGCGGGCUACUAACCCCAAGAUUCCGAGUUCGAUUCCAAGCAGUGACCUGAACAAUAACAAUAAUAAUAAUAACAUAACAUUGAAAAAUACCUUAGGACUGUGAACCCAGGUUCGAAAUUUCUCCAAGACACCUGAAGAAGGCUGGAGGGUAUAUCAGCUGAAACGUUGUGUUAACAACAAACAAGAUGAGGACAAAUAUCCAUCAAAUGUAAAUAAUGUAAAUAAUAGGCGCAGGAGUGGCUGUGUGGUAAGUAGCUUGCUAACCAACCACAUGGUUCCGGGUUCAGUCCCACUGCGUGGCACCUUGGGCAAGUGUCUUCUACUACAGCCUCGGGCCGACCAAAGCCUUGUGAGUGGAUUUGGUAGACAGAAACUGAAAGAAGCCUGUCGUAUAUAUGUAUAUGUGUUUGUCCCCUAGCAUUGCUUGACUAUCGAUGUUGGUGUGUUUACGUCCCCGUCACUUAGCGGUUCGGCAAAAGAGACCGAUAGAAUAAGUACAGGGCUUACAAAGAAUAAGUCCCGAGGUCGAUUUGCUCGACUAAAGGCAGUGCUCCAGCAUGGCCGCAGUCAAAUGACUGAAACAAGUAAAAGAGUAAAGAGUAAUUCCUCAUCUCUUAAAUAUAGAACUUUAUGAAAGAAGCCCAUGAUGUGUGUAUAUAUUAUAUGUGUAUAUAUAUAUAUUUGUGUGUCUGUGCACCAUCACUUGACAACCAAUGCUGGUGUGUUUACACCCCCAUAACUUAGCGGUUCAGCAAAGUGACCAAUAGAAUAAGUACUAGGCUUACAAAGAAUAAGUCCUGGGGUUGAUUCGUUCGACUAAAGGUGGUGCUCCAGCAUGGCCGCAAUUUGCAAUGUUUUACCAAAAAGAAUUACAAAGGUCACUAACUGUGACUAGGUUCUUAGGAAACACCUACGUUGCUAGAAAUAAGAGCUAAACCACUCUUAUCUAUGUAUAUCUUUUGCCUCUUCUUUGUUCUAAUCACAGGACUGCGGCCAAGCUGGGGCAUCAGAUUGAAAGGUUUAGUUGAAUGAAUUGACCCCAGUACUUUUUGUAAGCUUGGUAAUUAUUCUGUCAGUUACUUUCCACCGAACUGCUAAGUUGUAGGGAUGUAAACAAACCAACCCCAGUUGUCAAGCAGUGGUAGUAGACAAACGCACACACAUAUCCAUAUAUGUACAUAUACACACACAUACACACACACUACAGGUUUCUUUCAGUUUCCAUCUGCUAAAUCCACUCACACGGUUUUGGUCAGCUUGAGUCUGUAGUAGAAGACACUUGCCUAAGGUACCACGAAGUGGAACUGAACCCGAAACCAUGCAAUUAAGAAGCACACUUGGAAGCUAACCUGGAGAUAACACUAUUAAGUUCAUCUACGGGUACAGGCUAUCAGACAACUAGAAAUGUAGAGGUUGUUUUAUCAAAUCCAUGUCUGAUAAUCUACAAAUAUCAACAGAGUUUUUACAAUAAUAACAAGAAGAAUGGAGUCAGCAAAUUUUUUUAUUACAUCAGUUGACAUCUUGCUUGUAUAUAUCAUCAUCAUCAUCAACAUUUAUCUUCCAUAUUUCUUUCUGGCAUGGGUUGGACAGUUUGAUAGGAACUGAUGUGUCCAAGGGCUGCACCAAGCUAUAAACAUAUAAAUAUAUAUAUCAUCAUCAUCAUCGUUUAAUGUCUGCUUACCAUGCUCGCAUGGGUUGGACAGUUUGACUGAUGUCUGGCAAACCAGAUGGCUGCACCAGGCUCCAAUCUUGAUUUGGCAGAGUUUCUACAGCUGGAUGCCCUUCCUAAGGCCAACCACUCCGAGAGUGUAGUGGGUGCUUUUUGCGUGCCACCAGCAUGGGGGCCAGUCAGGUGGUACUGGCAAUGAACUCGCUCAAAUCUUCCUACACAUGCCACCGGCACAGGUGCCAGUAAGGCGACAGAACAUAACACGCAGCCCAGUCCAGGAAUCGAACUCACAACCUCACAAUCGUAAGCUCGAUGCUCUAACUACUGAACCAUGCACCUUCACACACACACACACAUAUAUAUAUAUAUAUAUAUAUAUAUAUAUAUCGUGCCGGUGGUACGUAAAAAGCACCGUUUGCCAGCCUUGUCUGGCACGUAAAAAGCACCCACUACACUCAUGGAGUGGUUGGCAUUAGGAAGGGCAUCCAGCUGUAGAAACAUUGCCAGAUCAGACUGGGCCUGGUGCAGCCUUCUGGCUUCACAGACCCCAGUUGAACCGUCCAACCCAUGCUAGCAAGGAGAACGGACGUUAAAAGAUGAUGAUGAUGAUAUAUAUAUAUAUAUUUUAUUUAUACAUACACUCUCACACACAUAUACAACAUGAGCUUCUCUCAGUUUCCAUCUACCAAAUCCACUCUCAAGGCUUUAGUUGGCCCAAGGUAAUAGUAGAAGACACUUGCCCAAGGUGCCAUGCAGUGGGACUGAACCUAGAACCAUGUGGCUGGUAAGCAAGCUACUUACGACACUUACUAUGUAUUUCACAAAUGAAUUAUCUGUUCACAGCAAACCCCUCUCUAUUUCUCUCCCUUUUUUCUCUUUUUCAGCUACCAUGUGUUCUUGUGUUCCUUAAUUAAAAACCAGUUUAAAUUUCUCGACCAUUUUCCCCCUAUUCUUCAGGUAAGUACUUCCUGCUUUGUAUGCUCCCUGUUACCUUGAAUUAUUAAACAGUUACCCUGUCUUAAAUGGAGAUUUAUUUACCAGAAAACUCCAGGUAUUUGUAAGGAAAUAUUUCUGUAUCAGCCAUAACAUCAUCAUUCUUCAUCAUCAUCAUCAUUUUGUUUUAACUCUUUACUUGUUUUAGUCAUUUGACUGUGGCCAUGCUGGAGCACCGCCUUUAGUCGAGCAAAUCUACCCCAGGACUUAUUCUUUGUAAGCCUAGUACUUAUUCUAUUGGUCUCUUUUGCCGAACCGCUAAGUUACAGAGACGUAAACACACCAGCUUCAGUUGUCAAGAGAAUUCACAAAAAAAACAAGAGGAAGACAGGUGGUGUAGACGACAAACAGAUGUAUUAGUAUAACGCUCAGGAAGUGAAAAAGUCUUUGACGUUUCAAGCCUACGCUCUUCCACAGAAAAGCAGAAAGUACGAAAAAAAGUUUAGAAAGUAUAAAAAAAGUUACGAAAAUUUCAGACGUCGCGGUGUAUUGGAGCAAUUUUUCAUCCAGUGUAAUCCAUGGGAAGGAGAGGUGGAGCUGGAGUGUAGUGGAAAGUCCAGUAGAAGUUGGUGGGUGACGAGAGGAGACAGGGUCAACUGGUGCAACCAUGUGAGCGUGUAAUAUAUGGGGAGAAUUCAGAAAAAAAACAAAAGACAAUAUAUAUAUAUAUAUAUAAACGGCAGUUUGUCUGUCUGUGUGUCUGUCAGGUUGUACCCUCACCCUUCGAUAAAUUCGACAUGGGGUCGAGAAUCAGAAACACAAACCGCAAACUGUCUAGGGGACGCAACUCCACCUUUUUAACUCUCAAAAAAAAAAAUUUACCAUAAUUUUUUUUCCAUAUUUUGGCUAUUUUUUGGCUAUAACUCUCUAAAAAUGCUUUAUAGUUAUUUCCCUUACAAACCUGAGCAACGCCGGGCGAUACUGCUAGUAUAUAUAUAUAGGCGUAGGAGUGGCUGUGUGGUAAGUAGUUUGCUUACGAACUAUAUGGUUCCAGGUUCAGUCCCACUGUGUGGCACCUUGGGCAAAUGUCUUCUACUAUAGCCUCAGGCCGACCAAAGCCUUGUGAGUGGAUUUGGUAGACAGAAACUGAAAGAAGCCCGUCGUAUAUAUGUAUAUGUAUGUGUGUAGGUUCGCUUGACAACCGAUGCUGGUGUAUUUAUGUCUCUGUAACUUAGCGGUUCGGUAAAAGAGACGGAUAGAAUAAGUACUGGACUUACAAAGAAUAAGUCCUGGGAUCAAUUUUCUCGACUAAAGGUGGUGCUCCAGCAUGGCCGCAGUCAUAUGACUGAAACAAGUAAAAGAGUAUAUAUAUAUAUAACAGGCUUCUUUCAGUUUCUUUUUUCUUUACUGCCCACAAGGGGCUACGCACAGAGGGGACAAAACAAGGACAGGCAAAUGGCUGAAAGAAGUAAAAGAGUAAAAGAAAAGAUUUAUGUGUGUGUGUGUGUGUGGAGGAUGGAUGGCCCAAGGUGGGAUCUAAAACCCCUGUAACCACACAUUUAGAAAGUUCUUAACUACACAUACAUCUGACGUUCUACUAAAUUUCCUUAUUCCAUGUCUGUCAUCUUUUUUGCUGUCUUUUGUUAAAGGUAUCCCAAAGUGAGGUGACAGACCAACCUUAAUUCAACAGGAUGAAGACCAAUGAACAGCCAGGUCACAGACGCCUGGAACAGAGCAACACGGACGAUGAGCUGAAAGAUUCCAACAAGGAAGAGGAUAUUCGAGCGAAACUUUGCAAAAGGAGUUUCUCAUCUACGAUCUCCAAUGUCGUCAUCAACAUCAUCCUCGCUCUCAUGUUUGCGGCUCUGAUCUUGUCUUUUUUACCAAUGGUGUUGUGAGAUGGGAAUAAAUAUUUGGGGGUGACAAACAGUGUUACAGGGACUGAAUAAAUUAUGAGGGUAAAAAUACAGGUUUU